UACGAAGGGGGCUAGCGUUGCUCGGAAUCACUGGGCGUAAAGCGCACGUAGGCGGAUUGCUAAGUCAGGGGUGAAAUCCUGGAGCUCAACUCCAGAACUGCCUUUGAUACUGGAGAGCUUGAGUCCGGGAGAGGUGAGUGGAACUGCGAGUGUAGAGGUGAAAUUCGUAGAUAUUCGCAAGAACACCAGUGGCGAAGGCGGCUCACUGGCCCGGUACUGACGCUGAGGUGCGAAAGCGUGGGGAGCAAACAGG
RNAcentral lists this ribosomal RNA (253 nucleotides) under uncultured bacterium. RNAcentral's name for it is "partial 16S ribosomal RNA". It matches the Rfam family "Bacterial small subunit ribosomal RNA", at positions 524 to 776 of the family's 1533-position model. The record is from RNAcentral.